Molecule: unclassified non-coding RNA, 1136 nt
Filed under: Hevea brasiliensis (rubber tree)
Lineage: Eukaryota; Viridiplantae; Streptophyta; Magnoliopsida; Malpighiales; Euphorbiaceae
Source: RNAcentral
CCACAGUUCAACUCCAAAUGUGCUUGUGCAGUUUGUGUUAUAUGAUCACAAUAAUUUGAUGUUUCCUCAUCUCAUGCUUUUUGCAAUGGAAAAUAUUCCUCCUUUGAGGGAACUUAGCCUUGAUUAUGGUGUGGCUGAUGAGUGGACUGGGAAGCUUUCUAUUUGCAACUGAAUAGGCUAGAAAAGUUUUUGGAACUUUUGUAUGUGGUGUAGCACAUCAUCGGAAGACAUAAUGUUGUAAGUUAAGCUUAACUACUUAUUUACAAUAUCUAGUUGAACAUGAAUAGAUCACCUUAUUUUAGUUUGUGGCAUUGUCAUCAUUAAAGCUCAUUCUAGAUUGAUGUGUGCCUUGUAAUUCUCGUGUAGUCCAGUCUGUUAGCAAUGUUAUUUACUCAGCUUAGAGGCAGUAUUCCUUAAGCAACUUCAUAGCAUAGGCAACAUAUAAUAACAUAUAGUUUGGUUUUGGAUACCAUUUAUGUGAGACGAAGGAGUUAAAAUGUCUUAUUUACAUCAAAUUGCAUGCCUUUCAAAUAUAUGCGAAUUGUUGAUAUCUACCUUUCUAAAUCACUGGUUUAAUUUUUUUGUCGUUUUUUACAACAGUGUAACUAUUAUUUAACAUGUGUCUGCCCAGUCUACCAGUGCAUAAUUGUUUGGGCAAAGAUCCUUUCAGGCCUCUAUGUCCAUUCGGUUAUCUCUAAGAAGUAGAAGGAUAUUUUGUGAACUGUUUGCUAAUGACCUGUAUGUUCCUUUUUUUUUAAUAAAAAAUUGUUAGUUGAUGUUGCCUUUCCAAGGAAGAGCAGUACAAUAAUUGAUACUCCCAGUUUUUUCAGUGUCUUCAUAUAGUCAGGGAGUGAAGGUCAUACCAGGUAGCAAUUGUUUAUGUGCCUAGUGUAGUGCGUCUUUUAUGUUGCAUCUGCAAUGACAUUCUGUUUUGGAUGUGUGCAUGAGCAGUGCAAAUGGUGGCCCUAAUUCACUAAGAAACCCCAUUGAUUUCCAAGGGAAACUGGCACGAAUCAAGUUGGCCAAUGCAGUUUCCAUGAUAGUUUUGACUCUGUCUCUAAUACUGCACACCAAGUGAUAGCCAUGCUGCUACUUAAUGUUUACCAUCUAGCAUAGUUUCUGAGAUUAGUUGGAUG